AUACGUAGGUGGCAAGCGUUGUCCGGAUUUAUUGGGCGUAAAGCGAGCGCAGGCGGUUUCUUAAGUCUGAUGUGAAAGCCCCCGGCUUGACCGGGGAGGGUCAUUGGAAACUGGGAGACUUGAGUGCAGAAGAGGAGAGUGGAAUUCCAUGUGUAGCGGUGAAAUGCGUAGAUAUAUGGAGGAACACCAGUGGCGAAGGCGACUCUCUGGUCUGUAACUGACGCUGAGGCUCGAAAGCGUGGGGAGCAAACAGGAUUAGAUACCCUGGUAGUCCACGCCGUAAACGAUGAGUGCUAAGUGUUGGAGGGUUUCCGCCCUUCAGUGCUGCAGCUAACGCAUUAAGCACUCCGCCUGGGGAGUACGGCCGCAAGGCUGAAACUCAAAUGAAUUGGCGGGG
Molecule: ribosomal RNA, 397 nt
Filed under: uncultured bacterium
Lineage: Bacteria
Description: partial 16S ribosomal RNA
Rfam family: Bacterial small subunit ribosomal RNA
Source: RNAcentral